This 446-nucleotide long non-coding RNA is filed under the name Panax ginseng (ginseng). RNAcentral describes it as "long non-coding RNA (PGIN_LNC009936)". Lineage: Eukaryota; Viridiplantae; Streptophyta; Magnoliopsida; Apiales; Araliaceae. The record is from RNAcentral.
CGAAAAUCCGCACUAUCAAGUCUAAGUCGGUGAUCAAUUCAACGUGCCAUGCGAGGAAUGACAUUGGGUGAUGAAAAAAGAGGAGACUUCUUCUUCUGCUUAGAGGAAUAGCCCGAAAAGCGUUCAAAAAGAAAAAUCUGAAGAAAGGAGCAUGGAAUGAAGCAAUUGACAUCAUACCUGAAUGAAUAAAAAUCAAAUAAGAAAAAGGUUAAAGGAAAAGAAGUGCGGUUGAAAAGACAAAUAAUAUAUAUCUAUAUAUAUAUAUAUAUAUAUAUAUAGGAAAAUGAUUACCUCCCAACAAAUUCUUUCAUGGCAAGGAUUGUUUCGUCUAGGCGACGAUAUAAGGUCCCUAGGAAGAGAGAAGCAAGGGGAAUCUCUGAGCCUCGGGAUAAUAAUGCUGCCAAGCUGAACACACGGGCAGAAGGACCGUCUAUGGGAGAUCUAGG